UGGGAGACUCCAGGAUUGGCUAUUGAGCAUAGGAACAACAGCAGCCAUGGUGGGUCUACCUGACACAUUCUCUUGAACACACAAUAAACCUAUGUGUAAGCAUCUCAUUACAUCACUUACUGGACUGCCCCUCAAUGUUUCGUCAAUCAGGUAUCCUUAACGGUUCCUGUCUACUCCAAGCAUAAAGAAGCAAACAUAAAGCUUGACUAAGAUACGAGCACACUUACAUGGAUUAGAAGGAGCUCUAGUUCCUCCGAAUUGUUCAGCCAGCUGUUUUUCUUACCAGUUACUAUCUCUAGAACCAACACUCCAAAACUGAAGACGUCAGAUUUCACUGAGAAUCGAUUGUGCAAGGCAUAUUCUGGAGCCAUGUAGCCGCUAAACAACAUCAACGACAGGAGCACAAUCUCAAUUCAAAUGCUAACAGAGCUCUUUCGAAACUGAGUUAUUCCAUCUCAGGUUUUAUGCGACAUAAAAGAGUUUUUUUUUUUCUAGUAGUUCUAUGGAAUUUCUAAAGAGUAUAAUCAUUGAGUUGAUUUAAAUACUCACUAGGUCCCCGCAACUCUGCCGGUAAUGCGUUGGGUUUGAUCUGGUUGAAACAGCCUUGCCAAGCCAAAAUCUGAAACUUUAGGAUUCAUCUCUUCAUCUAACAAGACAUUGCUAGCUUUCAGGUCACGAUGAAUGAUCCUAAGACGAGAAUCUUCAUGAAGAUAAAGAAUUCCUCUAGCAAUGCCGCUGAUGAUUCUGCACCUUGUUUCCCAAUUCAGUUGGGUGCUCUUGAUUGGAUCUACAAUUUCAUUCAAUAUAUUUACCAAAUCCUACUUGUGGAUUAAAAGAGAGCUACUUUAGAUAUGCUAAACAAUUCCUUUAGUAAAAGGUAAAGCAGUAGUACCAAAUAUGAAUUUAUCAAGGCUGCCAUUCCCCAAAAACUCAUAAACAAGGAUUCGUUCCUCUCCUUCGGAGCAAAAACCUACAAGGCUAACAAGAUUUCUGUGUUGGAGCUUAGCCAAUAACAGAAUCUCAUUCUUGAAUUCUAUUUCACCUUGUGAAGAAUAGCCGGAUAGCCUUUUGACAGCAAUUUCUUGUCCGUUUGGAAGCACUCCCUGAAGAUUAACAGAGUAAAUAAAGACAAGUGUUUCAUUU
This is a long non-coding RNA of Populus trichocarpa (black cottonwood), 1143 nucleotides long. RefSeq lists it as uncharacterized. The record is from RefSeq and is a predicted model, not a curated record. The transcript has 2 exons. NCBI's taxonomy places the organism in Eukaryota, Viridiplantae, Streptophyta, Magnoliopsida, Malpighiales, Salicaceae.